Molecule: ribosomal RNA, 253 nt
Filed under: uncultured bacterium
Lineage: Bacteria
Description: partial 16S ribosomal RNA
Rfam family: Bacterial small subunit ribosomal RNA
Source: RNAcentral
UACGUAGGUGGCAAGCGUUAUCCGGAUUUAUUGGGCGUAAAGGGAACGCAGGCGGUCUUUUAAGUCUGAUGUGAAAGCCUUCGGCUUAACCGGAGUAGUGCAUUGGAAACUGGGAGACUUGAGUGCAGAAGAGGAGAGUGGAACUCCAUGUGUAGCGGUGAAAUGCGUAGAUAUAUGGAAGAACACCAGUGGCGAAAGCGGCUCUCUGGUCUGUAACUGACGCUGAGGUUCGAAAGCGUGGGUAGCAAACAGU